GCGAACUGAUUAGAAGCUUGCUUCUAUGACGUUAGCGGCGGACGGGUGAGUAACACGUGGGCAACCUGCCUGUAAGACUGGGAUAACUCCGGGAAACCGGAGCUAAUACCGGAUAACAUUUUCUCUUGCAUAAGAGAAAAUUGAAAGAUGGUUUCGGCUAUCACUUACAGAUGGGCCCGCGGUGCAUUAGCUAGUUGGUGAGGUAACGGCUCACCAAGGCAACGAUGCAUAGCCGACCUGAGAGGGUGAUCGGCCACACUGGGACUGAGACACGGCCCAGACUCCUACGGGAGGCAGCAGUAGGGAAUCUUCCGCAAUGGACGAAAGUCUGACGGAGCAACGCCGCGUGAGUGAUGAAGGCUUUCGGGUCGUAAAACUCUGUUGUUAGGGAAGAACAAGUACAAGAGUAACUGCUUGUACCUUGACGGUACCUAACCAGAAAGCCACGGCUAACUACGUGCCAGCAGCCGCGGUAAUACGUAGGUGGCAAGCGUUAUCCGGAAUUAUUGGGCGUAAAGCGCGCGCAGGCGGUUUCUUAAGUCUGAUGUGAAAGCCCACGGCUCAACCGUGGAGGGUCAUUGGAAACUGGGGAACUUGAGUGCAGAAGAGAAAAGCGGAAUUCCACGUGUAGCGGUGAAAUGCGUAGAGAUGUGGAGGAACACCAGUGGCGAAGGCGGCUUUUUGGUCUGUAACUGACGC
RNAcentral lists this ribosomal RNA (699 nucleotides) under bacterium AC3. RNAcentral's name for it is "bacterial SSU rRNA". It matches the Rfam family "Bacterial small subunit ribosomal RNA", at positions 66 to 746 of the family's 1533-position model. The record is from RNAcentral.